CCUACGGGAGGCAGCAGUGAGGAAUAUUGGUCAAUGGACGGGAGUCUGAACCAGCCAAGUAGCGUGAAGGAUGACUGCCCUAUGGGUUGUAAACUUCUUUUAUAUGGGAAUAAAAUGUUCCACGUGUGGGAUUUUGUAUGUACCUUAUGAAUAAGGAUCGGCUAAUUCCGUGCCAGCAGCCGCGGUAAUACGGAGGAUGCGAGCGUUAUCCGGAUUUAUUGGGUUUAAAGGGAGCGUAGGAGGGUUGAUAAGUCAGCGGUAAAAUCUUGCGGCUCAACCGUACCGUUUCGGUGAAACAGUGGGAGGUGAGGAUGCGCAGGGUACAUGGAAUUCGUGGUGUAGCGGUGAAAUGCUGAGAUAUCACGAAGAACUCCGAUAGCGAAGGCAUUGUACCGGAGCAAGACUGACGCUGAGGCUCGAAAGUGCGGGUAUAAAACAGGAUUAGAUACACUAGUAGUC
This 459-nucleotide ribosomal RNA is filed under the name uncultured bacterium. RNAcentral's name for it is "partial 16S ribosomal RNA". It matches the Rfam family "Bacterial small subunit ribosomal RNA", at positions 338 to 795 of the family's 1533-position model. The record is from RNAcentral.